CUGCUUGGCAGUUCUUCCUCAUAGUCAACUCUGUGGAAUUUGGGACGAGGGAUAAUUUUUCAAAGGAGGGUGUUUGGGGGGAUAGAAAAAACUGAUGAGAAAAAAGAAUGAUUAAAUUCGCAAUACUCGAGUUCUAUGCAAAGAAUGCGUUUGGAAAAACGAGUCUCUAUUGGCUUUUGGAGUUCUACGGUGUUUGGAUGCCAAAUUGUUGAACUAAAUCAACCUCUGUUUUCCAGGAAAAUUGCUUCCACUUCUUUCUGGGAUUUCGGAGCUACCCCGCCGAUUUCAACUUCCAAACUGAAUUUUGGUGGCUUCAUCUGUUUCAUGGGCUCUAGUCAAGAUUAAGCAGUAUUAGUACCUGAUACAAAUGGCGCAGCUUUACAGAAGCAAAUGUAAUAGCCCAUCCACGCACGGGUCCUUCUUGUUGUCUCCAGAAAGGGAAAGCAGAAAAGAUAGAAACAGGAAUCUACCCUGUGACAGAGGUUCAAGAAUGAAUUUUCCAUUAUUCUGGGCUGCAGGCUGCUUCUUCUGUCUGUAAACACCCAACUGUUAGGAAACCCUUUGUUUUAAUUUCUUAGUAAAAAGAAGCGAAAGUGAGAAGACACCAGUCAGCAGAAGUAGAGAGUAAUUCUUACUAGCUUGGAGGUCAAGUUUCUGAGUCCAACAGAUACCAGCUUGGAGCUCAAGUUUGAGUCCAGUUUCAGAGUCUAAAUAGUUAUAGUUUUUUGUCUCGUUUUCAAAGUCACUCUCAAAAAUGAAAGCAAAGAAAAAAGCAUGGAGUUGGAAGCUACUUGGCUACU
This is a long non-coding RNA of Vitis vinifera (wine grape), 800 nucleotides long. RefSeq lists it as uncharacterized. NCBI's taxonomy places the organism in Eukaryota, Viridiplantae, Streptophyta, Magnoliopsida, Vitales, Vitaceae. The record is from RefSeq and is a predicted model, not a curated record. The transcript is spliced from 2 exons.